CAUAGAGGGAUGGCAAUAGCAUGUGGAGUCUGUCGUGUUUGUUUCUGGAAAUAGAUUAUACAUCACUUACACUUACCUGGACCGUCCUCUGAUUAAUCAUUCUAUUGAUAGUGUGUAAAUGAACGGACAUAACAGCAAGCAGACAAUAGGUGGCAACAUUGCUGAUAUGAGUGGACAAGCAACUUGUAGUGUUAGUCGUCUUGUCAUUUUGUAUGCAACUGUCACUAUUGCAGUCUGUUGAUGUGGCCUGCAUUGCAAGCAAGGGAGAACCGGGUGUCCCCGGAGUGCCGGGUCCUCCAGGAAGACAGAUGAGCAAUGGAUGUAGAAUUUAGUGAUGUGAAGAUUACUAGUGAGGUACUGGUCAUGAUGAUAGAAAAUAUGUGGGAGAAGUGGGUGAGUGCAGUGUUGAUGAGAUAACGUGUGAGGGUUGGUUAGGUGAGACUACAGGAGGUAGUAUGGGGAUUAUAAUAUUUGUCAGCAUGUUGAACAUAUGACAGACCAAGUUUUGUAUUUUCGGACAUUUUGCUGCUUGCCAAUUUGCACCAGGGUUGACCAAGGUGCUGGUGUACCCCAGCCUGGCAGGGUAUGGCAUGUUGGAUAAAGUGAGGUGAUAUGACCAGCCUUCCCUAAAUGCUAGG
Long non-coding RNA from Corticium candelabrum, 638 nucleotides. RefSeq lists it as uncharacterized. The transcript is spliced from 3 exons. The record is from RefSeq and is a predicted model, not a curated record. NCBI's taxonomy places the organism in Eukaryota, Metazoa, Porifera, Homoscleromorpha, Homosclerophorida, Plakinidae.